Molecule: long non-coding RNA, 310 nt
Organism: Oncorhynchus keta (chum salmon)
Lineage: Eukaryota; Metazoa; Chordata; Actinopteri; Salmoniformes; Salmonidae
Exons: 3
Source: RefSeq, a predicted model, not a curated record
UUAAUAAAUAUAAUCUAUGACACAUCUAACCUCAUCUAAUCUACAGCAGGUCUAACCUAAUCUCUUCUCUCUCUAGGGCUUCUGCUCCUGGUUAACAGCCAUCUUCCGCAUAAAGGAUGAGGAGAUCAGGGAGAAGUGUGGGGAGGAUGCUGUGCACUACCUCUCCUUCCAGAGGCACAUCAUUGGUCUGCUGGUGGUGGUGGGCGUGCUCUCAGUGGCCAUCGUGCUGCCCGUCAACUUCUCAGGAAAUCUAUUGGAGAAUGAUGCCUACAGUUUUGGACGCACCACUUUAGCCAAUCUGGAUGCCAAG